RNAcentral lists this microRNA precursor (78 nucleotides) under Sorex araneus (European shrew). RNAcentral describes it as "miRNA (ENSSARG00000018486.1)". It matches the Rfam family "Eukaryotic large subunit ribosomal RNA", at positions 2794 to 2878 of the family's 3401-position model. Lineage: Eukaryota; Metazoa; Chordata; Mammalia; Eulipotyphla; Soricidae. The record is from RNAcentral.
AAGCAGGAGGUGUCAGAAAACUUACCACAGUGAUAACUGGCUUGUGGUGGCCAAGCUUCAUGUCGCUUUUUGAUCCUU